RNAcentral lists this ribosomal RNA (478 nucleotides) under uncultured bacterium. RNAcentral describes it as "partial 16S ribosomal RNA". It matches the Rfam family "Bacterial small subunit ribosomal RNA", at positions 28 to 507 of the family's 1533-position model. The record is from RNAcentral.
GAUGAACGCUGGCGGCGUGCUUAACACAUGCAAGUCGAACGAGAAAUGUAGACGGAAACCUUCGGGCGGAAGCCUUCAUUUCGAGUGGCGGACGGGUGAGUAACGCGUGGGUAACCUGCCUCAUACAGGGGGAUAACAGUUGGAAACGACUGUUAAUACCGCAUAAGACCACAGCAUCGCAUGAUGCGGGGGUAAAAACUCCGGUGGUAUGAGAUGGACCCGCGUUCGAUUAGCCAGUUGGCGGGGUAACGGCCCACCAAAGCGACGAUCGAUAGCCGAUCGGGGAGGAUGACCGGCCACAUUGGGACUGAGACACGGCCCAAACUCCUACGGGAGGCAGCAGUGGGGAAUAUUGCACAAUGGGGGAAACCCUGAUGCAGCGACGCCGCGUGAGUGAAGAAGUACUUCGGUAUGUAAAGCUCUAUCAGCAGGGAAGAAAAUGACGGUACCUGAGUAAGAAGCCCCGGCUAACUACGUG